AUGGGGAGGCGGCCCCUCGCCAGCGCGGCCGCGUUCGUCGCGCUCGCCGUGCUCCUCCUCGUCGUCGUGGUCGCCGUCCACGGUGCCGGCGUGCCAUCGUCGUCCGUGAUGGCGUCGGUGGGCAACGGCCGCGGCCGUGCCGUCGUCGCAACGGCCAUCUUCGACGCCGCCCGGUGCAAGGAGCAGAGGAAGAAGAAAGCCGGUGGUGCAGCGGCGUGGGCACGCGACGGCGACGAGGACGACGACAAGCAUGUCGUGCCGACCGGCCCAAACCCGUUGCACAACAGAUGA
Molecule: ribosomal RNA, 291 nt
Filed under: Triticum aestivum (bread wheat)
Lineage: Eukaryota; Viridiplantae; Streptophyta; Magnoliopsida; Poales; Poaceae
Description: partial small subunit ribosomal RNA
Source: RNAcentral